UUCAGGGUAGUAAAUAUAAUACGUAAGCUUUAGGAGCUUGAGAAAAGGUUUAACCUUUCUUGAAA
Molecule: transfer RNA, 65 nt
Filed under: Donax variegatus
Lineage: Eukaryota; Metazoa; Mollusca; Bivalvia; Cardiida; Donacidae
Description: tRNA-Leu
Source: RNAcentral